RNAcentral lists this long non-coding RNA (1282 nucleotides) under Lathyrus oleraceus (garden pea). RNAcentral describes it as "Pisum sativum (pea) long non-coding RNA (PSAT_LNC038144)". The record is from RNAcentral. Lineage: Eukaryota; Viridiplantae; Streptophyta; Magnoliopsida; Fabales; Fabaceae.
AGAAUUUUUAGAGGCCUCUCACCAUCAGGAUGGGACUAUAUAAGGAGAACAAAGAAUAUGUUAAAAGGGGAGGAAACCCUAAGAAUCGUUUUUCGACGGCGAGGAGAAUAUCAAAACCCUAACGAAAUCAAGAAGGAGAAGAAGGAGAUAACCUAGACUUUGUGCUUUUCCGCAGAGAAGACGCGAGAUUCCAUUUGAACGCCGUCGGAGAAUCAAACGCGCCGGAGUUUAGAGGACCCAACAUCACCGUCAAUAUCUUCGUGGAAAGGUAAGCCUAAAACUUAAUUCUGGUCUGGUCUUUGCUCUCCAUUCCUUUUGACUUAUGCUUCAUCAUCGUCUUUCCUUGCUGUACUAUCUUUGGGUGUUGCUGUGCGUUUCCCUUCAUGUUUCGACUCUUCCAUUUUUUUUUCUUCUGUGAUCGUUUGCUCCUACUUGAGGAAAGGUCAUGUUUUGGUUAGGAUAUUUUGUUUCACUUUUUAAAACUAAUAAUAAUAAUAAUAAUAAUAAUAAUAAUAAUAAUAAUAAUAAUAUAUGUCUUUAAUAUUGUUUAAAACAUUCAGAGACUUGUGUUGGGAAUUGAUACCCAUGCUGCAGCAGUUUUGACCUUUCCUUUCUGUCGGCUUCUCAUUGAUUUGCUAAUUGACAAUUAAUGCUGGCCGCGUCCCCAUGACUACUGCCCAACGGCCACGCAGCUAGGAUGUGUUUGAUAUUCCCGGUGCCACCUCAUCUCGGGCCAAGCCGGAGCGGGUCUCAUUUGACCCGACCCAAAACAGUCCCAGAGACUGUUGGGUGAUCAUCAAGCCCAAGUAUUUGUUGCCCACCGCCCACCUUUAGUUAGGUUGUUUUCCUUUUUUUUCUUUCUAUUUUCUUUCGCCUUUUGCUUAUGUGAUAGGGUCACUGUCAAAGUAACAGUCGACUGUCUGUGGCCUGGUGGAGGGGAAGUUGUGCCAACUCCCUUUAAGUGGUGGGUUCGAUACUUGUGCAUUACAUAUUUGGUUUUAUAAUAUUUUAAUUUCUUUUGCGUAUUUCUUUUUAAUCCUCCCAUGUUCAUGUUUUAUUAUAAUUUCUCUGAUACUCAUUAUUUUUAAUGUUUACUUCUUUUAUUUAUUUUUAAUUGACAAAGCCUCGAUUUUAAUUUAUGGAUUCAACUACUCUCAUGUUUGUUUAUCCAUGAUUAUUUUAUCGAGAUAACGAUAGAAUUUCGUCGCGUUUCGGUUGGUCACACAUGAUCAUUCAAUGUUGACAUGAUGCAUAAACUGGUUUUGAGUACAGUACUUAGUUG